Molecule: ribosomal RNA, 515 nt
Filed under: uncultured bacterium
Lineage: Bacteria
Description: bacterial SSU rRNA
Rfam family: Bacterial small subunit ribosomal RNA
Source: RNAcentral
UAGUCCACGCCGUAAACGAUGAGUACUAGCUAUUGGGGGUAUUGACUCCCUCAGUGGCGCAGCUAACGCAUUAAGUACUCCGCCUGGGAAGUACGGUCGCAAGACUAAAACUCAAAGGAAUUGACGGGGGCCCGCACAAGCGGUGGAUUAUGUGGUUUAAUUCGAAGCAACGCGCAGAACCUUACCUAGGCUUGAAAUCCCUCGAAUCCCGAGUAAUUUUGGGAGUGCCCGCAAGGGAAUGAGGUGACAGGUGCUGCAUGGCUGUCGUCAGCUCGUGUUGUGAAAUGUUGGGUUAAGUCUCGCAACGAGCGCAACCCCUAUCUUUAGUUGCCAGCAUUAAGUUGGGCACUCUAGAGAGACUGCCCGGGUUAACCGGGAGGAAGGUGGGGACGACGUCAAGUCAGCAUGCCCCUUAUGUUCUGGGCUACACACGUGCUACAAUGGUUAGGACAAAGAGUCGCCAACUUGCAAAAGUGAGCUAAUCUCGUAAACCUAAUCUCAGUUCGGAUCGCAGG